This 666-nucleotide ribosomal RNA is filed under the name Chitinophaga arvensicola. Its description in RNAcentral is "partial 16S ribosomal RNA". It matches the Rfam family "Bacterial small subunit ribosomal RNA", at positions 252 to 918 of the family's 1533-position model. The record is from RNAcentral. Lineage: Bacteria; Pseudomonadati; Bacteroidota; Chitinophagia; Chitinophagales; Chitinophagaceae.
GCGGGGUAACGGCCCACCAAGUCAACGAUGGGUAGNUGGUGUGAGAGCACGACCANCCACACGGGCANUGAGACANGGGCCCGACUCCUNCGGGAGGCAGCAGUGAGGAAUAUUGGUCAAUGGACGCAAGUCUGAACCANCCANGCCGCGUGGAGGAUGAAGGCCUUNUGGGUUGUAAACUUCUUUUAUNUGGGAAGAAAAGCNCGGUNUCUACUGUGUCCGACGGUACCAGAUGAAUAAGCNCNGGCUAACUCCGNGCCAGCAGCCGCGGUAAUACAGAGGGUGCNANNGUUAUCNGGAUUUACUGGGUUUAAAGGGUGUGUAGGCGGAUAUUUAAGUCAGAGGUGAAAUCUCCAGGCUCANCCUGGAAACUGCCUUUGAUACUAUUUAUCUUGAAUUUCGUUGAGGUUGGCAGAAUAUAUCAUGUAGCGGUGAAAUGCAUAGAUAUGAUAUAGAAUNCNGAUUGCGUAGGCANNNGGNUGAACGACGAUUGACGCUGAGGCACGAAAGCGUGGGUAGCGAACAGGAUUAGAUACCCUGGUAGUCCACGCCCUAAACGAUGAUUACUCGACAUACGCGAUACACAGUGNGUGUCUGAGCGAAAGCAUUAAGUAAUCCACCUGGGAAGUACGUCCGCAAGGAUGAAACUCAAAUGAAUUGACGGGG